Molecule: microRNA, 22 nt
Filed under: Rattus norvegicus (Norway rat)
Lineage: Eukaryota; Metazoa; Chordata; Mammalia; Rodentia; Muridae
Description: rno-miR-6314
Source: miRBase by way of RNAcentral
AGGCACUGACAGAUCUGAUGGU